This 97-nucleotide ribosomal RNA is filed under the name uncultured bacterium. RNAcentral describes it as "partial 16S ribosomal RNA". It matches the Rfam family "Bacterial small subunit ribosomal RNA", at positions 1390 to 1482 of the family's 1533-position model. The record is from RNAcentral.
CCGCCCGUCACACCAUGGGAGUUGGCUUUACCCGAAGAUGGUGCGCUAACCUCGCAAGAGGAGGCAGCCAGCCACGGUAGGGUCAGCGACUGGGGUG